GCCAAACCCAGACUAUGUAAGUCAAGGAUAUCCAAAAUGUACAGAAGCUAGAAAUUAUAAAUCUGCAAAGAAAUGGAACUAAAUCAGUUGGAAUUGUCCAGUCCAUAAAUCUGGGAAAGAUAUAUCAACAUCAGGAUCAGCAAUCUAACAGAGGAAAAGAUGAGGUUCAAUUUUACCGUCAGCAUCUGGAACUUGGCUUAAAUAUAUGUCAAGAAGCAUUUCGUCAUGAUACAGUAGAAUAAUCAUCAUUUGAAGUAAAAAACAAAACAAAACUGGCUACCAAUACAAACUCCAAUAUUCAACAGCUGUGUUACCCUGAUAAAAUUAUUGAGACUCAAUUUCUUUAUUUGUAAAAGGUCUAAUAAUUUUACACUAUUUAAAUCACAAGUUUCUUAUAAUAAAGCCCCUAAAGAAUUUUUAAAAUCA
Molecule: long non-coding RNA, 426 nt
Filed under: Monodelphis domestica (gray short-tailed opossum)
Lineage: Eukaryota; Metazoa; Chordata; Mammalia; Didelphimorphia; Didelphidae
Description: lncRNA (ENSMODG00000035163.2)
Source: RNAcentral